GAUGAAGAACGUAGCGAAAUGCGAUAAGUAAUGUGAAUUGCAGAAUUCAGUGAAUCAUCGAAUCUUUGAACGCACAUUGCGCCCGCCAGCAUUCUGGCGGGCAUGCCUGUUCGAGCGUCAUUUCAACCCUCGACUUCCCUUUGGGGAAAUCGGCGUUGGGGACCGGCCGUAUACCGCCGGCCCCGAAAUGAAGUGGCGGCCCGUCCGCGGCGACCUCUGCGUAGUAAUCCAACUCGCACCGGAACCCCGACGUGGCCACGCCGUAAAACCCCCGACUUCUGAACGUUGACCUCGGAUCAGGUAGGAAUACCCGCUGAACUUAAGCAUAUCAAUAAGCGGAGG
RNAcentral lists this unclassified non-coding RNA (342 nucleotides) under soil metagenome. Its description in RNAcentral is "partial contains 5.8S ribosomal RNA, internal transcribed spacer 2, and large subunit ribosomal RNA". The stretch from base 1 to 120 matches the Rfam family "5.8S ribosomal RNA", at positions 35 to 154 of the family's 154-position model. The record is from RNAcentral.